CCAGCAGCUCUCUCUUUCCACUGGAGCAGCUGUUCUGUGUCACAUGGAGAAGGCCCAUCGGGAGUCGGAGAGAACGAGGCCAACAGGAUCCCAGGAUGCAGGGACGCAGAUGUGAGAAGACCCGGUCUGUGUCCUCAGGGCAGUGCAGCAGGGAAGAGCCCUCCCGGGGCGCCGGCCGACGCGAGACCAGUGGGGAACCGAGGCAGCUGGGCGCUCUGUGCCCGAGGAGGCACAGAAGGAAGACCAGUGUGGCCAGCACCUCAAGACUGUGACGUUGGGAGAGGCUGAAACUGAGGCUGCGGCGGAGCUGGGGCCAGGAAUGCAGGAUGUUGCCCUUCCACGUCGAUCUCUGUUCUUCAAGACCUGCUGCAAAUGCUACCUCCACCAGGAAGCCUCCCUGAUCACUGGCAGUCAGAUUUGUACUCUCUCAGCUCCUUGCCACUGUUACCAGGAUGAGAGCUGGAGUGGCUUCUGGCCCGGAGUGGACACUCCGUAAUGUUUGUUGAGUGAAUGGCUGUCAGAAAGAGGGGAAAGGGGGAGGGGAAGGCGUAGCAGAGAAGUGGGAAAGCUGGCGGUCUGAGCGGGGGGAGUGUCGGCUGGGCAAUGGUCAAGAUGGUGUUUUUCUGACUCCAGGUGACCAUUUAGUGAGCACACAA
Molecule: long non-coding RNA, 656 nt
Organism: Artibeus jamaicensis (Jamaican fruit-eating bat)
Lineage: Eukaryota; Metazoa; Chordata; Mammalia; Chiroptera; Phyllostomidae
Exons: 3
Source: RefSeq, a predicted model, not a curated record